Molecule: long non-coding RNA, 144 nt
Filed under: Anser brachyrhynchus (Pink-footed goose)
Lineage: Eukaryota; Metazoa; Chordata; Aves; Anseriformes; Anatidae
Description: lncRNA (ENSABRG00000019597.1)
Source: RNAcentral
AGCCCCGUGCUUCCAGAGAGCUCAGCUGUUGAGUCAGCUGAGCCGGGGGCUUUGCGAAGCACCGAGGGGGAAAGGCGUUCUCCUCGACAGGCCUGAUCAAAGCGGUGAGACAAGCACGCGGCUGCUGUUGGGAUGCUUUGCAAG